This 253-nucleotide ribosomal RNA is filed under the name uncultured bacterium. RNAcentral describes it as "partial 16S ribosomal RNA". It matches the Rfam family "Bacterial small subunit ribosomal RNA", at positions 524 to 776 of the family's 1533-position model. The record is from RNAcentral.
UACGUAGGGCGCAAGCGUUGUCCGGAAUUAUUGGGCGUAAAGAGCUCGUAGGCGGUCUGUUGCGUCCGCUGUGAAAACCCGGGGCUUAACCCCUGGCUUGCAGUGGAUACGGACAGACUAGAGGUAGGUAGGGGAGAAUGGAAUUCCCGGUGUAGCGGUGAAAUGCGCAGAUAUCGGGAGGAACACCGGUGGCGAAGGCGGUGCUCUGGGCCUUACCUGACGCUGAGGAGCGAAAGCGUGGGGAGCGAACAGG